AUUGGGUUGGCAAAAAAGUUUGAGUUUUUCCUAAAAUGUUACAAAAAAACCUGAACAAACUUUUUGGUCAACCCAGUAC
RNAcentral lists this microRNA precursor (79 nucleotides) under Ovis aries (sheep). RNAcentral describes it as "miRNA (ENSOARG00000022898.1)". Lineage: Eukaryota; Metazoa; Chordata; Mammalia; Artiodactyla; Bovidae. The record is from RNAcentral.